GAGUGUGCCUCCAGAGUGUCCUGCUACAAAAGAUACCACUCAGUCAGCCGUCGAAUUUGCUUUACGGAAGAUAUGCCUGAUGAUCAAUACAGUGCACCCUCUCAACAGCCUCUCAGCAUCAUACAGAAGGAGGUGGGUGGGUCUACUAUGGGUACAACUCUGCAACCACGUGAUCAUCGUGGCUGAAUCGCCCUCUACAAUAAUCUGGAUCGCCCCC
This 217-nucleotide long non-coding RNA is filed under the name Elaeis guineensis (African oil palm). RNAcentral's name for it is "long non-coding RNA (EGUI_LNC025426)". The record is from RNAcentral. Lineage: Eukaryota; Viridiplantae; Streptophyta; Magnoliopsida; Arecales; Arecaceae.